AGAUGUCCGCUUCCUAAUCCUGGAAACUGUGAAUAUGUUCCCUUAUGUGGCAAAGAAGAAGUGAAAUUGCAGAGAGAAGGGGGCUAAUUCGCUGACCUUAAGGUAAGGACGUUAGGCUGGAUGAUCCAGGUGGGCCCAAUGUCAUCAUAAGCAUUCUUAAAAGUGGAAGAUGGAGGCGGAGUAGGCCAGAGUGAUGUGCUGAGACGGGAGAAGGACCUAGUCUGCCACUGCUGACUUUGAAGAUUGAGGAAGAGUGGGAAGGGGCUCAAAGCAAGGAAUGUGGGGCCUCUAGAAGCUGAAAAAGGCAAGGAAACAGAUUUUCCACGAGAGCCUCCGGAAAGGAACCAAGCCUGUAGACACCUUGAUUUUAGCUCGGUGACAGCCCAGGUUGAUUUGGCCUGGAAUGUGGUGAUUUCUUUUAAUUUGCACACUGGAUUUUUUUUUUUCAGCCAAGAAAAUUUUCCUUUGGUGCCUCUUUUAAGACCAGUGUUCCAAGGAGCAUACUUUAGGAAAAUGUGCUUCUUUGUACUCGUGAUGAUAUUCUAAAAGCAUUGGGCUGAAUAAUGACGAAGAUUUGUGAAAUUUAACAACUGGUUAUUUGUCACAUAACAAUUUUUCAAAGUUGACCUACCUGACUACUUGUUUCUUUGUCUUCUUUCGUUUUGUGAGGAAGAUUGGCCCCGAGCCAACAUCUGUUGCUAAUCUUCCUCUUUUUGCUUGAGGAAGAUUGUCGCUGAGAUAACAUCUGUGCCAACCUCCCUCCAUUUCAUGUGGGACACUGCCAAAGCAUGGCUUGACGAGCAGUGCUAGAUCCGUGCCCAGGAUCUGAACCCAUGAACCCCUGGCCACUGAAGUGGAAUGUGCAAACUCAACCAGUAUGCCACCAGGCCGGCUCCUUAUUUGUCUUUGGAGGUAUAAAAAAUAAAUAAAAGCAAAGAAGACUCUGACAAAAAUGUCUUCAUAUAGGAUUACAACUGUUAAUAUCUUCUCAUAUUUUAUUAUAUAUGAAGUAGAGAUAAAGUUUACCUCAACCCUGCCCUCAAGCCUUCAAUCUCAUUCUCCCUUUCCAGUCUCAGAGGUAACCAUUAUCAAGUUAAUCAGUACCAUUCUUUUUUCAUACAUUUUCAUACAUAUGUGUAUUCAUAACAUCUGUACAUAAUGAGUAUAUAUACACACAUAAAUGCUAUAUGCAUGCAUGUAAAUAGUACACUUUUAUGCCUUUUUUACUAAUCUAUAUGAAUAUACUAGAUUUAGUUUGUUUUGUUUAAUAGCUGCAUAACAUUUUAUCUUGUGUAUCACUUUUGGACGUAAGCGUUGUAUAUUGUAUAUCUCUCCCUCCAACAAUUAUAAGUAUUGAUGAAUAAACAUGUUUUCAUGUGCACGUCUGUGAGAGCUCUUUGAGGUCAUCCCUCCAGGGUUGUCAUCACUGAGGUAUAAGAUAUGAGGUAUAUUUACGUUUUUCCUAGAUACUGCUGAUUGCAUCCCAAGGUGGCUGUAACAGUUUUCAUUUCCAUCAGCCGAGUGUGGGCGUACCAUUUCUCCUAAAUUCUUGCCAACACUUUAUUAGGUUAAAUAAUUUUGCUAGUGUGAUAGAAGAAAAAUAAUAUAUCUGUGUUAUUUUAAUUUGAAUUUCUCUAAUACCAAGAGAGAAUUAGCAUAUUUUCACAUUUGUAUUUUGAGUUGGUUUUGGGAAUUGCUUGUUCUUGUAUUUUAUUCAUUUUAUCAUUGUGAUUUUUGUCUUUUUCUCAUGGAUUGAAGUUCUUUAUAUAUUCAGGAUAUUAUUUCUUUGUUGGAUAAUACAUUGCAAAAACCUUCUCUGGCUAACAUUUUAACUUUAUAUUAAAAUUAAAAUGUUUAUUUAAAAUUAAAUGUUCUUAAUGUGUCUUGUUUAAUCAAUUCUAAUGUCAUAAAUGUAUUUUCCAAAAUUUCAGAGGCUUGUUUUUCAUAUUUAGAUAUUUAAUGUAUGUGGGACUAAUUUUUGUUCCUGUUGUGAAAUAGUAAAUUUAAUUUUCUUUUCCUUAGGGUCACUUUUUGCUAAUAUAAUUUAUUAUAACCUCUGUAUUUUCCUCACUGGUUCAUAUACCACAUAUAUUAU
Molecule: long non-coding RNA, 2095 nt
Filed under: Equus caballus (horse)
Lineage: Eukaryota; Metazoa; Chordata; Mammalia; Perissodactyla; Equidae
Description: lncRNA (ENSECAG00000057740.1)
Source: RNAcentral